This 1146-nucleotide long non-coding RNA is filed under the name Nicotiana benthamiana. Its description in RNAcentral is "long non-coding RNA (NBEN_LNC008956)". The record is from RNAcentral. Lineage: Eukaryota; Viridiplantae; Streptophyta; Magnoliopsida; Solanales; Solanaceae.
GCAGAGCGUCUUGGAAUUCUCUAGAAGAUGAGAGAAGUGCAUUACAGAAAAUAAAAUGAAAAAUGAGUCUCGGUAGGUGAGAAAAUAUCUCACCUACAUAUAUACUUAUUACACAUGGACGGGUCGGAUCGGGUGAUCCGGCCCAAAAUUAAAUAAUGGACAUUGGGCUCAGAUACACAAAUCAUCACAGCCCAUUUACAACCUAAUUUCGAAAAUAUACCUACAAUAUACACUAAAUAUACACAAAAUAUACAAGUCUAUAUAAAGCUAAAUCAUGUAGCAUGUCUUAUCUCAACACCCCCCCUCAAGUUGGAGGGGGAAACCACCUGCAACUUGGUGAGCAGCGGAAGAAGUGAAGUGCCAGGCAGAGGUUUAGUAAGCAGGUCGGCCAGCUGACGAGAAGUUGGUACAUGUAGCAGCUUGAGAAAACUAGAAAGGAGCAAAUUCCGAACAAAAUGGCAAUCCACCUCGAUAUGUUUGGUACGUCAUGAAAAACAGGAUUGUUAGCAAUGUGAACAGCAGCCUGACUAUCACAAUAUACAGAAAAAGGAGAAGGAACAGAUACCCCAAGGUCAACCAACAAUCGGCCAGCUGACGAGAGGUUGGUACGUGUAGCAGCUGGAGAAAACCAGAAAUGAGCAAAUCCCGAACAAAAUGGCAAUCCACCUCGAUAUGUUUGGUACGUUCAUGAAAAACAGGAUUGUUAGCAAUGUAAACAGCAGCCUGACUAUCACAAUAUACAGAAAUAGGAGAAGGAACAGAGACCCCAAGGUCAACCAACAAGCGACAAAGCAAAGUCAACUCAACAGCAACCUUGCUAAGGGCCCUAUAUUCUGCCUCAGCAGAGGACAGAGAAACAACAGGUUGUUUCUUUGAUUUCCAACUGAUCAAACAGCCACCCAAAAUCACACAAAAACCAGUAACAGAACGCCUAGUAUCAGGGCAGGCAGCCCAAUCACUAUCAGAAUACCCAGUAACAGAGAAAUCAGCAUGAUCAGAAUAAAACAAGCCCAAGGAGGGAGUACCCUUAAGGUAUCUAAGGACAUGUAGGGCAGCAGUCAUAUGGGGAAGUCUGGGAGAUUUGAGGAAUUGACUCAGAUGCUGGACUGCAAAACAUAUGUCAGGCCUAGUGUGAGUCAGGANNNN